CUCUGGAAGAGGAGCCAGUGCUUUUAACCUCUGAGCCAUCUCUUCAACCCUCAUCUAGCAACUGAUGCUGCGGUGAUGCAGGCUUUAUUCUAGACUCUUUCAUGUGGCAGGAUCUUAUGAGUUCAUUUCAUCCCAGGACUGAGUCUGAGUCCCUUUGGGAAAUGUCACUGUCUACUGAAAUACUAAAAUGUAAGCCUGGAGUUAAGAUACUAACAAUAUACUGAGAAGAACAUCACUAAAAACCAUGUGUUUUUGUAAAUAUAGCAUUGUUAAAUGAAUAUGGUUAUACUACUUAGUUAUUAUUCAGAUUAAAUUGUAUUGCCUAGAGAGAUUGAAAAGUUUCUUGGCAUUCUCAAUAUAAGAGUAAAGAAAGGGGCUGGAGAGAUGGCUCAGAGGUUAAGAGCACUGACUGCUCUUCCAGAGGUCCUGGGUUCAAUUCCCAGCAAUCACAUGGUGGCUCACAACCAUCCGUUAUGAGAUCUGGUGCCCUCUUCUGGUGUGCAGAUAUACAUGGAAGCAUUCAUAAUAAAUAAAUAAAUAAAAAUCUUUAACAAAAAAAAAAAUUUAACCUCAAACAGUGGGCAGUAGUGGCACACACCUUUAAUCCUAGUACUCAGGAGGCAGGAGGAUAUCUGAAUUCAAGGCCAACCUGAACUACAGUGUGAGUUCUAGGACAGCCAGGGCUGUUACACAGAGAAACCCUGUCUCUAAAUAAAUAAACAAAUAAAUAAAUUGAAUAUCAAACAUUGCAAUAGGUGUGUCACAAAAAUUUAAAAUCACCUUUAUAUUCAUUAACAAAUACAGCAGAGCAAAGAGUGACAGGCUUGGUGACAUAUAUGCGCCUUUAAUCUCAGCACAUGGAAGACAGAGGCAGGUAGAUCUCUCUGUGAAUUCAAGGCCAGCCUGGUCUACAUACUAAAUUCCAGGGCUUCAUAAUGAGACCUUGUCCCAAAAAAAGAAAGAAGAACAGAAAGAAUGCUAGGGAAAUGAAGAAGAGCAGAGCAAAUCAUGUAAGAUAUUAAUGUAGGCUACAACGUGAGCAAUGGUAAGUUGUUAUUACAACACCCUAAGGGCCCUUAGAAAAGCACAACCAAAAAUGACAGGAAAUUCCAAACUGAAAGAAAGCUCACUGAGUUGGCAAUUAUAAAGGUCAGGGAGGGUCAAAGGGCAAAUUGGACUUUAGCAGCCACUACAUGGAAGGGACAUUAUAAUCCAAAGAAACAGCUUGUCCAGGACUCAAAGGCAGGAAAGUACAAGGUCCAAACUGGUGGGGUUGAUGGUGGGGUGGGGAAGCAAGAGUGGAAGUCCACUGCAUUACAGAGAUUUCUGAGGACCUGGGGAGGCUUUUGUAGGGAAUUUGAAGCAAAUAUUGUGAUAAAACAAGAAGUUAAAAACAG
This 1397-nucleotide long non-coding RNA is filed under the name Cricetulus griseus (Chinese hamster). Its description in RNAcentral is "lncRNA (ENSCGRG00015039497.1)". Lineage: Eukaryota; Metazoa; Chordata; Mammalia; Rodentia; Cricetidae. The record is from RNAcentral.